GUUUAUCAUAACAUUUGAAAUCAGAGCCAGCCAACGGACUUUUUCCUGGAAGUCAACUGAACUGAGGAAACCUUCAACAACAAGGAAAGGUUAACCAGAGACCGCACUGGCGUCCGGAUCCUUUGUAAGCUGAUCACGUUAUGUCCGUCUGUGCUAAGACUGGAAGUGACUGAAAGACAACACAGAUGCAUUCUUUCAGCAAGCACUUGUCCUGGAGGUUUUGUAGACAGAACUGGAAGUGACUGAAAGAAAACGGAGACUCAUUCUUUCAGCAAGGUGACCAAAAUCUGUUUCGCUCUGCAGCACUUGUCCCGGAGGCUUUGUAGACAGAGUGACUGAACGAAAACCUAAAUGAGAAAUAGGAACAACAUGUUUAGAAGAUGAAGUGUGGACGCCUCGGCAGCUUCAGUAUGCUGUGUACCUCAUCUUGAACUCUUUCACAUGGUGAUUCCUACACAUAAUUGCACACUGUAUGUGUUUAGCUAUCCUAUCUUACAAAGACUUAUGCCAACACUGUAUCUGCCUUUCCUCAAUACAAUGUAAAAAGUGCUGCAUAGACCAUUUAGAGAAGCAAUGUCUCGUGACUUUUACUGUAUGUUUAUUUUUGAGCAAGUCUCAUUUGUUGUGUAAAAUAUCUUUGCAGAUUUUCUUUUCAUGCCUGGACACUUUUUUUUAUUUCAAAUAUUGCUUUGAAUUGAUGCAAAUUGAAGAACGUGAAUCCCUGGUAAUAAAGGAAGGUUGACCAGAAAAUCA
Molecule: long non-coding RNA, 753 nt
Organism: Engraulis encrasicolus (European anchovy)
Lineage: Eukaryota; Metazoa; Chordata; Actinopteri; Clupeiformes; Engraulidae
Exons: 8
Source: RefSeq, a predicted model, not a curated record